GCCCUAUGGAGCACGGAGUAAAUCGUAUUGUUGUUGAAGAUGUCCAGAGCCUUUCUCAGUUUAAUCUUCCUGUGUCACUUCCUAAUGCGCACAUGCUUGGACCAGUUACUGGACAAGGAUCUUUACCUGUAAUAGGCCCUUCUGGCUCAUUGGCCAGUGGCAAAGCUUUACAUAACAAAAGCAAAUUUCCAGUGAUUGAUGAUGCAUUGGGCUUGACUGAUGCUUUUGUUGAUGGUUCUAUGGCCGGGGGAGCUGAUUUCUAUGAUCCUGAUCAGCCUUUAUGGUCAAAUGAUCAUCCCGCAACUUCAACAGCACUGUUGGAUGUCAAUCAGUCUAAAAUUGAUGACACAGGGCCUUUGCUGAAUGCUGACUCCUCUGUUCAGAAUCAGGCUGGGCUUUAUGAUGGCUGUAAACUCGAGCCUAUAGAUAGAGGUGCCGGA
RNAcentral lists this unclassified non-coding RNA (440 nucleotides) under Hevea brasiliensis (rubber tree). Lineage: Eukaryota; Viridiplantae; Streptophyta; Magnoliopsida; Malpighiales; Euphorbiaceae. The record is from RNAcentral.